RNAcentral lists this transfer RNA (71 nucleotides) under Saccharomyces cerevisiae (brewer's yeast). The record is from RNAcentral. Lineage: Eukaryota; Fungi; Ascomycota; Saccharomycetes; Saccharomycetales; Saccharomycetaceae.
GGGCGUGUGGCGUAGUCUGUAGCGCGUCCCUUAGCAUGGGAGGGUCUCCGUUUCGAUUCCGGACUCGUCCA